CCAUCUGACUAUCAAUUGCUCUUUCGUGGCUUGGUCAUCAGAGAAAGGUUCUCCUUUCCUUGUCUGGUCAUCAUGAUGCCAUGCCAUCAGUUGUUAUGUCAGUUGUAAAGAAGAAAAUGACCUCCAACCAUGGAGAGUCAUCAUCAAAAAGGGUGAGAGUGCUUAACCUGAAUUUUCAAUUUUUGACUCCUAGCGGUCCUUGGUGGGGACUGGGUCGGUCGUAACCAUGAGGCCGCAUGUUGGUGUGUCAGGGUCAUUCUAGGCUCCUCCUUCAUCGAGCUAGGCCCCAUCUUCCUUUGGAGGAUCCAUGAGAUUCGGGGCGGGCCCUUAUUUUCCAAGAGUAGCUAGGGGUUUAUGGAGGCUACAAUGGAGGCCUCCGCUGAGGCUAGGCUCUAAUGCAUCGAUGGACUUUGAGGAUGAACUCAUCGAGAUGUCCUUGGCUAGGUUCAUCUAGGGCUUUGAUGACUAUAAGGCUCACCUAAGGAAGAUGGUCUCUGUUGGGUAUAAAAUAUCCCC
This 516-nucleotide long non-coding RNA is filed under the name Elaeis guineensis (African oil palm). Its description in RNAcentral is "long non-coding RNA (EGUI_LNC051705)". The record is from RNAcentral. Lineage: Eukaryota; Viridiplantae; Streptophyta; Magnoliopsida; Arecales; Arecaceae.